UUUAAAGAUCAAUAAUUUUAAGUCAAAAAAUAAAUUUUUAAUAUUUUUAUGAAUCAUUCAAUUUCUUAAAUUUUAAAUUUUAAAUUUUAUUAAUUUAAAGACAUUAUUUGUAUAACAAUGUCAAUAUUUUAUUAUUUUAAAAUAUGUUAUUAUCUUUAAACAAUUUCUUACAUUAAUUUAUAAUCAAUUGUCUAAUUAAAUAAAUAAAUAUAUAACUGCUAUUAUAAAGGGAUAUUAUUAGACCAAAUUCUUGAAAUUACC
RNAcentral lists this long non-coding RNA (261 nucleotides) under Brassica rapa (field mustard). RNAcentral's name for it is "long non-coding RNA (BRAP_LNC004330)". The record is from RNAcentral. Lineage: Eukaryota; Viridiplantae; Streptophyta; Magnoliopsida; Brassicales; Brassicaceae.